CGUGUAGGCGGUUUGUUAAGUCAGUUGUUAAAUCCCAUGGCUUACCCAUGGAUCGGCAAUUGAUACUGGCGAACUAGAGGACAAGAGAGAGGAGUGGAAUUCUCGGAGUAGCGGUAAAAUGCGUAGAUCUCGAGAGGAACACCGAUGGCGAAGGCAGCUCUUUGGCUUGUACCUGACGCUGAGGCGCGAAAGCGUGGGGAGCAAACA
RNAcentral lists this ribosomal RNA (207 nucleotides) under uncultured bacterium. RNAcentral describes it as "partial 16S ribosomal RNA". It matches the Rfam family "Bacterial small subunit ribosomal RNA", at positions 568 to 774 of the family's 1533-position model. The record is from RNAcentral.